RNAcentral lists this ribosomal RNA (467 nucleotides) under uncultured bacterium. RNAcentral's name for it is "partial 16S ribosomal RNA". It matches the Rfam family "Bacterial small subunit ribosomal RNA", at positions 28 to 507 of the family's 1533-position model. The record is from RNAcentral.
GGUGAACGCUGGCGGCGUGCCUAAGACAUGCAAGUCGAGCGGGGCAGGUUUAUACCUGUUCAGCGGCGGACGGGUGAGUAACGCGUGGGUGACCUACCCGGAAGAGGCGGACAACCUGGGGAAACCCAGGCUAAUCCGCCAUGUGGUCCUGUCCUGUGGGGCAGGACUAAAGGGGCGACCCGCUUCCGGAUGGGCCCGCGUCCCAUCAGCUAGUUGGUGGGGUAAAGGCCCACCAAGGCGACGACGGGUAGCCGGUCUGAGAGGAUGGCCGGCCACAGGGGCACUGAGACACGGGCCCCAGUCCUACGGGAGGCAGCAGUUAGGAAUCUUCCGCAAUGGACGGAAGUCUGACGGAGCGACGCCGCUUGGAGGAGGAAGCCCUUCGGGGUGUAAACUCCUGAACUGGGGACGAAAGCCCCGUGUAGGGGGAUGACGGUACCCAGGUAAUAGCGCCGGCCAACUCCGUG